RNAcentral lists this ribosomal RNA (467 nucleotides) under uncultured bacterium. RNAcentral's name for it is "partial 16S ribosomal RNA". It matches the Rfam family "Bacterial small subunit ribosomal RNA", at positions 28 to 507 of the family's 1533-position model. The record is from RNAcentral.
GACGAACGCUGGCGGCGUGCUUAACACAUGCAAGUCGAACGGAAAGGCCUCUUUCGGGGGGUACUCGAGUGGCGAACGGGUGAGUAACACGUGAGUAACCUGCCCUUGACUUUGGGAUAACUUCAUGAAACUGGGGCUAAUACCGGAUAGGAGCUCCUGCUGCAUGGUGGGGGUUGGAAAGUUUCGGCGGUUGGGGAUGGACUCGCGGCUUAUCAGCUUGUUGGUGGGGUAGUGGCUUACCAAGGCUUUGACGGGUAGCCGGCCUGAGAGGGUGACCGGCCACAUUGGGACUGAGAUACGGCCCAGACUCCUACGGGAGGCAGCAGUGGGGAAUAUUGCACAAUGGGUGGAAGCCUGAUGCAGCAACGCCGUGUGCGGGAUGACGGCCUUCGGGUUGUAAAACGCUUUCGCUCAUGACGAAGCUUUGUGUGACGGUAGUGGGUAAAGAAGCACCGGCUAACUACGUG